GUCUCUUUAGAAACAUCUGAUAAAAUUAAAACGAUACAGAGAAGAUUAGCAUAAUUCCUGCCCAAAGAUGACACGCACAACUUAUCCCAGCAGGACUUCUCU
This 102-nucleotide small nuclear RNA is filed under the name Ipomoea nil (Japanese morning glory). Lineage: Eukaryota; Viridiplantae; Streptophyta; Magnoliopsida; Solanales; Convolvulaceae. The record is from RNAcentral.